RNAcentral lists this unclassified non-coding RNA (195 nucleotides) under uncultured Lacrymaria. RNAcentral describes it as "sequence contains ITS2". The record is from RNAcentral. Lineage: Eukaryota; Fungi; Basidiomycota; Agaricomycetes; Agaricales; Agaricaceae.
AAUUCUCAACUUCAUCAACUUUGUUGUUGAAGCUUGGAUGUGGGGGUUUUGCAGGUCUGCCUUAGUUGUGUGGUCUGCUCUCCUGAAAUAUAUUAGCGGGUUGGCUUCCCUCUAUCAGUGUGAUAAUUAUCUACGCUGUAGAUGGGUUUGGCUUUCAGACCAGCUUCUAAUCGUCCUAGGACAAUUUCUUGACAU